AGCAGUCGCCGCGGUAAUACGUAGGGUGCAAGCGUUAAUCGGAAUUACUGGGCGUAAAGCGUGCGCAGGCGGUUCGUUAAGACAGAUGUGAAAUCCCCGGGCUUAACCUGGGAACUGCAUUUGUGACUGGCGGGCUAGAGUAUGGCAGAGGGGGGUAGAAUUCCACGUGUAGCAGUGAAAUGCGUAGGGAUGUGGAGGAAUACCGAUGGCGAAGGCAGCCCCCUGGGCCAAUACUGACGCUCAUGCACGAAAGCGUGGGGAGCAAACAGGAUUAGAUACCCCUGUAGUCCCUGUCUCUUAUAC
Molecule: ribosomal RNA, 303 nt
Filed under: uncultured bacterium
Lineage: Bacteria
Description: partial 16S ribosomal RNA
Rfam family: Bacterial small subunit ribosomal RNA
Source: RNAcentral